UCUUACGUUUUUUGGAUUCACUUCUUAGAACUUUGCAAUUUUGUUAAUUUGUAAAGGAGCAAAAACAUUUAAGUGAUAUUUCAGUAAAAACUAUUGCUGCUCAUUGUGCUGGCUUGCCAUCAGAAAAGCAUAAAAAACAUACAUAUGUAUGUAUGAGGUUGCCAGCCCGCUACGCUUUGCUCUCAUCUGGCUGCAUUGGCUUUACAAUGACGCCCCCAAUACACCCGUACAACUUCUACUACGGCAAGUAUUAGUACGCAAGAUGGCGUACCGUACAACCGCACAACAGGACUGCUGGCUGCAAUACAGUUAUCCUUUUCCAACCAGCGUUAAAUGGCUCGCCUGCAACUGCAACAGUCUAGGAUCAUUGAUUUUUUAGCCAUGGCCCAGGAGCAUGCGCCUGGCAAUUCCAUCGGCCUCGUCCAGUCUUUGACUCUUGGCGCGUGUCAAUGCACCGUCAUGACACGUCGUUGCAGCCCAUCAUUGACGAGCACCUUCCAGACGCAGACGCUAACACGGUCGGCGACGCCGGCAGAGCGACGUCGACAGCAGCUGCUUUUAUGUUUAUGUAUGUAUGUAUUUACCGUGUGACAUUGGCAGCUGCAAAUAAUAUCAAUAACGCGAUAAAAGUUACAGCCACCAAAUCAACCGAGCUGAUAAUGCUCCAUGGCCAUUGUUUAUUAAUUUCUAUAUAAACAAGUCGAGCGUAGGCGAUAAGCGAUAGGGAUA
This is a long non-coding RNA of Drosophila navojoa, 729 nucleotides long. The record is from RefSeq and is a predicted model, not a curated record. Lineage: Eukaryota; Metazoa; Arthropoda; Insecta; Diptera; Drosophilidae.